UGCCAGCCGCCGCGGUAAUACGAAGGGGGUUAGCGUUGUUCGGAAUUACUGGGCGUAAAGCGCACGUAGGCGGAUUAGAAAGUUAGAGGUGAAAUCCCGGGGCUCAACCCCGGAACUGCCUUUAAUACUGCUAGUCUUGAGUUCGAGAGAGGUGAGUGGAAUUCCAAGUGUAGAGGUGAAAUUCGUAGAUAUUUGGAGGAACACCAGUGGCGAAGGCGGCUCACUGGCUCGAUACUGACGCUGAGGUACGAAAGUGUGGGGAGCAAACAGGAUUAGAUA
This 279-nucleotide ribosomal RNA is filed under the name uncultured bacterium. RNAcentral describes it as "partial 16S ribosomal RNA". It matches the Rfam family "Bacterial small subunit ribosomal RNA", at positions 506 to 784 of the family's 1533-position model. The record is from RNAcentral.